RNAcentral lists this ribosomal RNA (448 nucleotides) under uncultured bacterium. Its description in RNAcentral is "bacterial SSU rRNA". It matches the Rfam family "Bacterial small subunit ribosomal RNA", at positions 329 to 794 of the family's 1533-position model. The record is from RNAcentral.
GACCAGACUCCUACGGGAGGCAGCAGUGGGGAAUAUUGCACAAUGGGGGAAACCCUGAUGCAGCGACGCCGCGUGAGCGAUGAAGUAUUUCGGUAUGUAAAGCUCUAUCAGCAGGGAAGAAGAUGACGGUACCUGACUAAGAAGCCCUGGCUAACUACGUGCCAGCAGCCGCGGUAAUACGUAGGGGGCAAGCGUUAUCCGGAUUUACUGGGUGUAAAGGGAGCGUAGACGGCGAUGCAAGCCAGAUGUGAAAGCCCGGGGCUCAACCCCGGGACUGCAUUUGGAACUGUGUGGCUGGAGUGUCGGAGAGGCAGGCGGAAUUCCUAGUGUAGCGGUGAAAUGCGUAGAUAUUAGGAGGAACACCAGUGGCGAAGGCGGCCUGCUGGACGAUGACUGACGUUGAGGCCCGAAAGCGUGGGGAGCAAACAGGAUUAGAUACCCCUGUAUU